RNAcentral lists this ribosomal RNA (764 nucleotides) under uncultured Prevotella sp. RNAcentral's name for it is "bacterial SSU rRNA". It matches the Rfam family "Bacterial small subunit ribosomal RNA", at positions 28 to 776 of the family's 1533-position model. The record is from RNAcentral. Lineage: Bacteria; Pseudomonadati; Bacteroidota; Bacteroidia; Bacteroidales; Prevotellaceae.
GAUGAACGCUGGCUACAGGCUUAACACAUGCAAGUCGAGGGGAAACGGCGUUGAGUGCUCGCACUCUUCGGACGUCGACCGGCGCACGGGUGAGUAACGCGUAUCCCACCUUCCCGUCACUGCGGGAUAACCUGCCGAAAGGCAGACUAAUACCGCAUGGCCUUCACUGACGGCAUCCGAGGUGAAGUAAAGCUUUUUUGCGGUGACGGACGGGGAUGCGUCUGAUUAGCUUGUUGGCGGGGCGACGGCCCACCAAGGCGACGAUCAGUAGGGGUUCUGAGAGGAAGGUCCCCCACAUUGGAACUGAGACACGGUCCAAACUCCUACGGGAGGCAGCAGUGAGGAAUAUUGGUCAAUGGGCGGAAGCCUGAACCAGCCAAGUAGCGUGCAGGACGACGGCCCUACGGGUUGUAAACUGCUUUUAUGCGGGGAUAAAGUGAGGGACGCGUCCCUUUUUGCAGGUACCGCAUGAAUAAGGACCGGCUAAUUCCGUGCCAGCAGCCGCGGUAAUACGGAAGGUCCGGGCGUUAUCCGGAUUUAUUGGGUUUAAAGGGAGCGUAGGCCGGGGAUUAAGUGUGUUGUGAAAUGUAGGCGCUCAACGUCUGAUGUGCAGCGCAUACUGGUUCGCUUGAGUACGCGCAACGCCGGCGGAUUCGUCGUGUAGCGGUGAAAUGCUUAGAUAUGACGAAGAACCCCGAUUGCGAAGACAGCCGGCGGGGAGCGCAACUGACGCUGAAGCUCGAAGUGUGCGGGUAUCGAACAGG